CUGGUUUUGCAGGUUGGUGAUGGAGAUGACUCGUUGAAGGUUCAAAUUGCGCGAAGAAGAAAGGGAUUCACGAUUAGGGUUCCAUGACGAUUUGGGGAUUUAGGUUUUUGGUUUUCUGAUUUGGGAUUUUGAGGUUUUGAUUGGUGGUUCGAAUAAAUUUUGUUGUGUUCUUUGGGUUUACAAGUGCGAAGAGAAGGAAGAGGAAGACGCGGUGGUUAGCGAGUGUGAUGUCGCAGUCUGAUGGAGAAGACGAACAUGGUUGAUGCGUGAGGAAGCACAAAGGAGUUCACAAUUUAGGGUUUCUUUGUGGCAACGUGAUUUGGUAUUGGGUGGUUGAACGAAGAAGAUAAUGAUGGCACAUGGAGGAGAUGCUCUCCGUGGUCUCGAGAUUGGGUUGAUGGUGGUUGGUCGUGGAGUUUGGGAUUGCGAUGAUAAAGGUUGAACGCCAUGGUGACUUCACGAUUUUCGGCACAGUGGAUGUUGAUGGCGCAUGGUUGCUGGGUGGUAUAUAGGAGAAUUAAGGUUUCAGAUUUUUGGUGAUGAAGGUGGAGAUGACAUGACACGUAUCAUGAUAUGACGCGUUCUGGUUGAUCCAUGUGGGAUAAAGAAAAAAAUGAUUUGCAUUUGAUGUUAUUUUAUUUUCCUUUUUGUUUUUUUAUUCAACAUAUUUUACGCGUGUUUUGUCACAUCAUCACAAUGUUUUGCCACGUCACUACACUGUUAACACUCUUACUUGAAAAAUUAACGAAAUGAACUUGAUUGAUGCACAUCAAAUCAAUUAUGGACGAAGUUGAUACUUUUUUAAAAGUGAGGACCAAGUAUGUUUCAGUGACUAU
Vigna radiata var. radiata (mung bean) is the source of this 836-nucleotide long non-coding RNA. RefSeq lists it as uncharacterized. Lineage: Eukaryota; Viridiplantae; Streptophyta; Magnoliopsida; Fabales; Fabaceae. The record is from RefSeq and is a predicted model, not a curated record. The transcript is spliced from 3 exons.